This 497-nucleotide ribosomal RNA is filed under the name uncultured bacterium. RNAcentral's name for it is "partial 16S ribosomal RNA". It matches the Rfam family "Bacterial small subunit ribosomal RNA", at positions 28 to 507 of the family's 1533-position model. The record is from RNAcentral.
GAUGAACGCUGGCGGCGUGCCUAAUACAUGCAAGUCGAGCGAACAGACGAGGCGCUUGCUCCUCUGACGUUAGCGGCGGACGGGUGAGUAACACGUGGAUAACCUACCUAUAAGACUGGGAUAACUUCGGGAAACCGGAGCUAAUACCGGAUAAUAUAUUGAACCGCAUGGUUCAAUAGUGAAAGACGGUUUUGCUGUCACUUAUAGAUGGAUCCGCGCCGCAUUAGGUAGUUGGUAAGGUAACGGCUUACCAAGGCAACGAUGCGUAGCCGACCUGAGAGGGGGAUCGGCCACACUGGAACUGAGACACGGUCCAGACCACUACGGGAGGCAGCAGUAGGGAAUCUUCCGCAAUGGGCGAAAGCCUGACGGAGCAACGCCGCGUGAGUGAUGAAGGUCUUCGGAGCGUAAAACUCUGUUAUUAGGGAAGAACAAAUGUGUAAGUAAAUAUGCACGUCUUGACGGUACCUAAUCAGAAAGCCACGGCUAACUACGUG